RNAcentral lists this transfer RNA (75 nucleotides) under Chloroflexota bacterium. RNAcentral describes it as "Chloroflexi bacterium tRNA-Gln". It matches the Rfam family "tRNA". Rfam says of the family: Transfer RNA (tRNA) molecules are approximately 80 nucleotides in length. Their secondary structure includes four short double-helical elements and three loops (D, anti-codon, and T loops). The record is from RNAcentral. Lineage: Bacteria; Bacillati; Chloroflexota. RNAcentral also lists the same sequence under 2 other names.
UGGGGCGUCGCCAAGUGGUAAGGCAGCGGACUUUGGAUCCGCCACACGUAGGUUCGAAUCCUACCGCCCCAGCCA